RNAcentral lists this transfer RNA (75 nucleotides) under Chitinophagales bacterium. RNAcentral describes it as "tRNA-Pro". It matches the Rfam family "tRNA". Rfam says of the family: Transfer RNA (tRNA) molecules are approximately 80 nucleotides in length. Their secondary structure includes four short double-helical elements and three loops (D, anti-codon, and T loops). Further hydrogen bonds mediate the characteristic L-shaped molecular structure. tRNAs have two regions of fundamental functional importance: the anti-codon, which is responsible for specific mRNA codon recognition, and the 3' end, to which the tRNAs corresponding amino acid is attached (by aminoacyl-tRNA synthetases). tRNAs cope with the degeneracy of the genetic code in two manners: having more than one tRNA (with a specific anti-codon) for a particular amino acid; and 'wobble' base-pairing, i.e. permitting non-standard base-pairing at the 3rd anti-codon position. The record is from RNAcentral. Lineage: Bacteria; Pseudomonadati; Bacteroidota; Chitinophagia; Chitinophagales.
GUGUAAGUAGCUUAAUGGCAGAGCGUAUGCUUUGGGAGCAUAAAGGUAUAGGUUCGAGUCCUAUUUUACGCACCA